RNAcentral lists this small nucleolar RNA (108 nucleotides) under Sorex araneus (European shrew). Its description in RNAcentral is "Small nucleolar RNA SNORA41 (ENSSARG00000018545.1)". Lineage: Eukaryota; Metazoa; Chordata; Mammalia; Eulipotyphla; Soricidae. The record is from RNAcentral.
UUCUAUAGCUACUGCUCUGUGUUGUAACAUUCCUUCAUGGGAAAGAAACUGUCAGAGUUUAACACCUUUUAGAAAAACAUGUAGCAAACAUGUAUGUGGCAACCAUGA